This 271-nucleotide ribosomal RNA is filed under the name uncultured Parvimonas sp. RNAcentral's name for it is "partial 16S ribosomal RNA". It matches the Rfam family "Bacterial small subunit ribosomal RNA", at positions 84 to 355 of the family's 1533-position model. Lineage: Bacteria; Bacillati; Bacillota; Tissierellia; Tissierellales; Peptoniphilaceae. The record is from RNAcentral.
AUUUAACGAAAGUGGCGAACGGGUGAGUAACACGUGAGCAACCUGCCUUACACAGGGGAUAGCCAUUGGAAACGGUGAUUAAUACCCAUAAGACCACAAUACCGCAUGGUAAAAGGGUAAAAAGGGAUACUGGUGUAAGAUGGGCUCGCGUCUGAUUAGCUAGUUGGUGGGGUAAAGGCCUACCAAGGCGACGAUCAGUAGCCGGUCUGAGAGGAUGAACGGCCACAUUGGAACUGAGACACGGUCCAAACUCCUACGGGAGGCAGCAGCU